AGUGGCGGACGGGUGAGUAACGCGUGAGAAUCUGCCCUCAGGGGGGGGAUAACGGUUGGAAACGACCGCUAAUACCCCAUAUGCCGCGAGGUGAAAUGAAUUUCGCCUGAGGAUGAGCUCGCGUCUGAUUAGUUAGUUGGUGGGGUAAAGGCCUACCAAGACAUCGAUCAGUAGCUGGUCUGAGAGGAUGAUCAGCCACACUGGGACUGAGACACGGCCCAGACUCCUACGGGAGGCAGCAGUGGGGAAUUUUCCGCAAUGGGCGAAAGCCUGACGGAGCAACGCCGCGUGAGGGAUGAAGGCCUCUGGGCUGUAAACCUCUUUUAUCAAGGAAGAAGAUCUGACGGUACUUGAUGAAUAAGCCACGGCUAAUUCCGUGCCAGCAGCCGCGGUAAUACGGGAGUGGCAAGCGUUAUCCGGAAUUAUUGGGCGUAAAGCGUCCGCAGGCGGUCUGUCAAGUCUGCUGUUAAAGCGUGGAGCUUAACUCCAUUUCGGCAGUGGAAACUGACAGACUAGAGUGUGGUAGGGGCAGAGGGAAUUCCCGGUGUAGCGGUGAAAUGCGUAGAUAUCGGGAAGAACACCAGUGGCGAAGGCGCUCUGCUGGGCCAUAACUGACGCUCAUGGACGAAAGCCAGGGGAGCGAAAGGGAUUAGAUACCCCUGUAGUCCUGGCCGUAAACGAUGAACACUAGGUGUCGGGGGAAUCGACCCCCUCGGUGUCGUAGCCAACGCGUUAAGUGUUCCGCCUGGGGAGUACGCACGCAAGAAUGAAACUCAAAGGAAUUGACGGGGGCCCGCACAAGCGGAGGAACAUGUGGUUUAAUUCGAUGAUACGCGAGGAACCUUACCCAGGUUUGAAAUGUAAAGGCUUUUGGUGGAGACACCAUUUUCAUUUUAUGACUUUUAUGUAGGUGCUGCAUGGUUGUCGUCAGCUCGUGCCGUGAGGUGUCGGCUUAAGUGCCAUAACGAGCGCAACCCUUGUCGGUAGUUACCAUCAGGUUAAGCUGGGGACUCUACCGAGACUGCCAUCGUAAGAUGCGAGGAAGGUGGGGAUGACGUCAAAUCAGCACGGCCCUUACGUCUGGGGCGACACACGUGUUACAAUGGUAAGUACAGAGGGUUGCUACCCCGCGAGGGGAUGCAAAUCUCGAAAGCCGAUCUCAGUUCGGAUUGGAGUCUGCAACUCGACUCUAUGAAGCUGGAAUCGCUAGUAAUCGCGCAUCAGCCAUGGCGCGGUGAAUACGUUCCCGGGCCUUGUACACACCGCCCGUCAAGCCAUGGGAGCUUGGGGUACCUGAAGUUCGUAACCGUGAGGGGCGACCUAGGGUAAAACAGGUAACUAGGGCUAAGUCGUAACAAGGUAACC
RNAcentral lists this ribosomal RNA (1365 nucleotides) under uncultured bacterium. Its description in RNAcentral is "partial 16S ribosomal RNA". It matches the Rfam family "Bacterial small subunit ribosomal RNA". The record is from RNAcentral.